Molecule: long non-coding RNA, 1297 nt
Organism: Fukomys damarensis (Damara mole-rat)
Lineage: Eukaryota; Metazoa; Chordata; Mammalia; Rodentia; Bathyergidae
Exons: 4
Source: RefSeq, a predicted model, not a curated record
GUGAUUCAUGCCUACCAUCCCAUCACUAUAGGAGACUGAGGCAGGAGAAUCUCCAAUCUGAGCCCAGCCCAGUAAUUUGAAGACUUAAUGAGACCCUGUUUCAAUAAAAAAUUAAACAGGGGAGGGGAUAUAGCUCAGUGCCAAGAUUCUGGACUCAAUCCUUAGUAUCACAGAAAUACACACCACCACCAUCACCACCACCACCAACAGCAACAAUAACAAAAACUUUUACAGUGAUAGGGUGUGGUAGGUGGCAGUGCUUGACAGGGUUGGAGUGGGCCUUUCUGAGGAGCUGGAAAUGAGCAGAGGCUUGAGUAGAAAUCUAGAGGAAAUGCAUUCUAGACAGAGGGAACAGCAAGUGCAAAGGUCCUGGGGCAGACAGGAGCCCAGUACCUGGAGAGGAUUCCUGGUGAGAUCCCGAGGGCCUUUAGCUGUUGAUGACUUUUCUGUCUUCCAGAUUCUUAUUAGUCUGUGAACUCAGUUCACUGGGUAGGACUUUUCACCCCAGCAAUGAGCCUCUUCCCUGAAUAUCAGCCUAAAAAUAUCAGCACAGGAAGGGUCCUCAAGAGAUGCUGUGAGAAACUUUCAUCGUUCAAAUGGAUCAGGCGAGACCCAGGCUCACCUGUGACCACACUGCACAUUCCAGUCACACAGCGCAGGACAGCAGCCCACUCAGCGUGGAUGACUCACUGAAGAAGAGGAAAACAGACGAUGAGGGAGAGCUGGACAUCACUGCCACAGUGACGGGGUGGGGACCAGGACGUUCUGCCAUUGAGCGCCAGGGACAGGACCAGCCAUCUGCUGGUUCUCCGCUCCUCAGCGUGGCUCCGCCUGAAACCCUUUAAAUAUCGCCCUGUUGCUCCCCGAGAAACACCAACCCCACCUCUCACACCCACGCACCAGCACCCAGAACACACGAGGCCUCCCACAGGGUUGCUGGGGCUCGGGGUGCAGGGACACAGACAUGAGGGCGGCAGUGGGAGGCAGUGGGGGCCCAGAGCUCUGCCUGGUCCUCGUGGAUGUAUCCCACGCCCGCUGUGACAAUUGGACAGGGCCUGCGCCACAAGACACACCGACCAGCACCGACCUGGACCCCGGGCGCCUCGCCAGAUCCCUUCAGGGACAACGCUGAGCACUCCCUGGGCUGGGCGUCUCCGACCCUUCCUUCCUGCAGGUGUCCCCGGGACUGCGGGCAGCAGCCCGACUGCAGGACAGCGGCCCCAGGGCUGAGCCGGGCAGGGGACACGGGCAGGGGACUCGGGCUUUGCAGGCAGCAGUAACAUUUCCGGGCCCGCAG